GGUUUGAUCAUGGCUCAGAACGUACGCUGGCGGCACGCCUAACACAUGCAAGUCGAACGAAGUAGCAAUACUUAGUGGCAGACGGGUGAGUAACAUGUGGGUAUCUGCCCUUUGGCCUGGAAUAACACGAGGAAACUUGUGCUAAUACCGGAUAAGUCUUUACAGAGAAAGCUUUAUGCACCAUUGGAUGAGCCCGCACUUGAUUAGUUUGUUGGUAGGGUAAUGGCCUACCAAGACUGUGAUCAAUAGCUGAUUUGAGAGGAUGAUCAGCCACAUUGGGACUGAGACACGGCCCAAACUCCUACGGGAGGCAGCAGUGGGGAAUCUUGCACAAUGGAGGAAACUCUGAUGCAGCGAUGCCGCGUGAGUGAAGAAGGCCCUUGGGUUGUAAAGCUCUUUCGUCGGGGAAGAAAAUGACUGUACCCGAAUAAGAAGGUCCGGCUAACUUCGUGCCAGCAGCCGCGGUAAUACGAAGGGACCUAGCGUAGUUCGGAAUUACUGGGCAUAAAGAGUUCGUAGGUGGUUGAAAAAGUUGGUGGUGAAAUCCCAGAGCUUAACUCUGGAACUGCCAUCAAAACUUUUCAGCUAGAGUUUGAUAGAGGAAAGCAGAAUUUCUAGUGUAGAGGUGAAAUUCGUAGAUAUUAGAAAGAAUACCAAUUGCGAAGGCAGCUUUCUGGAUCAUUACUGACACUGAGGAACGAAAGCAUGGGUAGCGAAGAGGAUUAGAUACCCUCGUAGUCCAUGCCGUAAACGAUGUGUGUUAGACGUUGGAAAUUUAUUUUCAGUGUCGCAGCGAAAGCGAUAAACACACCGCCUGGGGAGUACGACCGCAAGGUUAAAACUCAAAUGAAUUGACGGGGACCCGCACAAGUAGUGGAGCAU
RNAcentral lists this ribosomal RNA (882 nucleotides) under uncultured Alphaproteobacteria bacterium. Its description in RNAcentral is "bacterial SSU rRNA". It matches the Rfam family "Bacterial small subunit ribosomal RNA", at positions 10 to 940 of the family's 1533-position model. Lineage: Bacteria; Pseudomonadati; Pseudomonadota; Alphaproteobacteria. The record is from RNAcentral.